UGUCAAGGGAUGGGAAUCGAACCCACGACCUUCCGCUUGACCUUCCGCUUACCGGGCAGAUGCCAUGACCACUAGGCUACCCUGGAC
Non-coding RNA from Cordylochernes scorpioides, 87 nucleotides. NCBI's taxonomy places the organism in Eukaryota, Metazoa, Arthropoda, Arachnida, Pseudoscorpiones, Chernetidae. The record is from the annotation of a GenBank genome assembly.